AUCCAGAUGAUAAGUCUCAUAUAGGAUGAAACGCGUGUCCUGGAU
Molecule: non-coding RNA, 45 nt
Filed under: Schistosoma mattheei
Lineage: Eukaryota; Metazoa; Platyhelminthes; Trematoda; Strigeidida; Schistosomatidae
Source: RNAcentral